This 96-nucleotide signal recognition particle RNA is filed under the name Buchnera aphidicola (Aphis nerii). RNAcentral describes it as "signal recognition particle sRNA small type". It matches the Rfam family "Bacterial small signal recognition particle RNA". Rfam says of the family: The signal recognition particle (SRP) is a universally conserved ribonucleoprotein involved in the co-translational targeting of proteins to membranes. Archaeal SRP consists of a 7S RNA and homologues of the eukaryotic SRP19 and SRP54 proteins. In most bacteria, the SRP consists of a 4.5S RNA and the Ffh protein (a homologue of the eukaryotic SRP54 protein). Lineage: Bacteria; Pseudomonadati; Pseudomonadota; Gammaproteobacteria; Enterobacterales; Erwiniaceae. The record is from RNAcentral.
UGUUAGUCCUGAACACUGUUAAAUUGAAAAAUGAGUCAGGUCUGGAAAGAAGCAGCUAUAUCAAUUAAUACAGGUGUUUUGUUAAAACUAACAGAA